CACGUAGGAGGCGAACGUUAUCCGGAAUUACUGGGCGUAAAGCGCGCGUAGGCGGCUUUGUAAGUCCGACGUGAAAGCUCCUGGCUUAACUGGGAGAGGUCGUUGGAUACUGCAAAGCUCGAGGUUAGGAGAGGAAAGUGGAAUUCCCGGUGUAGUGGUGGAAUGCGUAGAUAUCGGGAGGAACUCCAGUGGCGAAAGCGACUUUCUGGCCUACACCUAACGCUGAAGCGCGAAAGCGUGGGGAGCGAACAGG
Molecule: ribosomal RNA, 253 nt
Filed under: uncultured bacterium
Lineage: Bacteria
Description: partial 16S ribosomal RNA
Rfam family: Bacterial small subunit ribosomal RNA
Source: RNAcentral